RNAcentral lists this ribosomal RNA (461 nucleotides) under uncultured bacterium. Its description in RNAcentral is "partial 16S ribosomal RNA". It matches the Rfam family "Bacterial small subunit ribosomal RNA", at positions 28 to 507 of the family's 1533-position model. The record is from RNAcentral.
GGUGAACGCUGGCGGCGUGCUUAAGACAUGCCAGUCGAACGAUCGUCUUCGGACGUUAGUGUCGCACGGGUGAGUAACGCGUAACUGACCUGCCCCCAAGUUCCUAAUAACCCUCCGAAAGUAGGCCUAAUACGGGAUGUGCUGUCCCCUCCUGUGCGUCCAGUAAAGGCUUGACCUCUUGGGGGUGGGGUUGCGUUCCAUCAGCUAGUUGGUGGGGUAAAGGCCUACCAUGGCAACGACGGAUAACCGGCCUGCGAGGGUGGCCGGUCACAGGGGCACCGGGACACGGGUCACACCCCAACGGGAGGCAGCAGUUAGGAAUCUUGAACAAUGGACGAAAGGCUGAGGGAGCGACGCGGCGUGAGGGAUGAAGGUUUUCGGAUUGUAAACCUCUGAAUCAGGGACGAAAGGCGCGGAAGAGGGAGGACGGUACCGGAGUAAUAGCACCGGCUAACUACGUG